This 574-nucleotide ribosomal RNA is filed under the name Streptococcus sp. oral taxon 065. Its description in RNAcentral is "bacterial SSU rRNA". It matches the Rfam family "Bacterial small subunit ribosomal RNA", at positions 380 to 945 of the family's 1533-position model. The record is from RNAcentral. Lineage: Bacteria; Bacillati; Bacillota; Bacilli; Lactobacillales; Streptococcaceae.
ACCCUGACCGAGCAACGCCGCGUGAGUGAAGAAGGUUUUCGGAUCGUAAAGCUCUGUUGUAAGAGAAGAACGAGUGUGAGAGUGGAAAGUUCACACUGUGACGGUAACUUACCAGAAAGGGACGGCUAACUACGUGCCAGCAGCCGCGGUAAUACGUAGGUCCCGAGCGUUAUCCGGAUUUAUUGGGCGUAAAGCGAGCGCAGGCGGUUAGAUAAGUCUGAAGUUAAAGGCUGUGGCUUAACCAUAGUACGCUUUGGAAACUGUUUAACUUGAGUGCAGAAGGGGAGAGUGGAAUUCCAUGUGUAGCGGUGAAAUGCGUAGAUAUAUGGAGGAACACCGGUGGCGAAAGCGGCUCUCUGGUCUGUAACUGACGCUGAGGCUCGAAAGCGUGGGGAGCAAACAGGAUUAGAUACCCUGGUAGUCCACGCCGUAAACGAUGAGUGCUAGGUGUUGGGUACUUUCCGGGACUCAGUGCCGCAGCUAACGCAUGAAGCACUCCGCCUGGGGAGUACGAACGCAAGGUUGAAACUCAAAGGAAUUGACGGGGGCCCGCACAAGCGGUGGAGCAUGUGGU